CUCCGCCUUUGCUUACCCUCUUGGCUAGUCUAGCGGCCAAGGCUUCCCGCUUUCGGGGAAGGCCUGCAAAGUGAGGCCUCGGGCUAGGGUUGGCGGGCGCGUGGUGGGAACCGCGUGGAACCGAAGGGCUCCCACGGGAACAAGGGCAUCACUGACGGUACGGCCUCUCGGGUCUAUUGACCCUUCUCUGCCUCCCCGGUCCGGACUCAUACAACUUGGAGGCCCAGAGGUCGUCCAGUCUCAUCUUGACGUCAGAAUGACACAGCCAGUUAUCAAAAGAAAUCUUCAAGGAAUUCCCUGUAUGCUGAGGAAUGAAGGAUGUGAGAAAGAAAUUAACUGUCUUCUGCUCUCAAGUUAGACCCCUAAGAAAACUCUUAAGAGUAUCUAAUAACUAGAGGCAUCUGUCACACCAGCAAAGAUGUCAUUAUUGUUUUUUUCUUAUCAGUCUUAGAUUAUGCUUUGCUUUAAAAUGAGAUACACCACCAGAGCUUUCCAGAUCUUUUUUUUUUUUUUUGGAGAUGGAGUCUCACUCUUGCCAGGCUAGAGUGCAGUGGUGUGGUUUUGGCUCACUGCAACCUCUGCCUCCUGGGUUCAAGUGAUUCUCCUGCCUCAGCCUCCUAAGUAGCUGGGACUACAGGCGUGCGCCACCACACCCAGCUAAUUUUUUGUAUUUUUAGUCGAGAUGGGGUUUCACCAUGUUGGUCAGGAUGGUCUCGAUCUCUUGACCUCGUGAUCCACCUGCCUCGGCCUCCCAAAGUGCUGAGAUUACAGGCGUGAUCCACCAUGCCCGGCCAGCUUUCCAGAUCUUAAAACUUUUACAUACCAGUUGCUCUUAAAGUUUCCACAUAGAGAAUUCUUUAAUAAUUCUGUUUCUGGCCGGGUGUGGUGGCUCACACCUGUAAUCCCAGCACUUUGGGAGGCCGAGGUGGGUGGAACACGAGGUCAGGAGAUCGAGACCAUCCUGGCUAACACGGUGAAACCCCGUCUCUACUAAAAAUAAAAAAAAAAAAUAGCUGGGCGUGGUGGCGGGCGCCUGUAGUCCCAGCUACUCGGGAGGCUGCGGCAGGAGAAUGGCGUGAACCCAGGAGGCGGAGCUUGCAGUGAGUUGAGAUUGUGCCACUGCACUCCAGGAUGGGUGACAGAGCGAGACUCCAUCUCAAAAAAAAAAAAAAAAAUUCUGUUUCUUUCUUUCUUUUUUUUUUUUUUUUAAGGAUGGAGUCUCACUCUGUUGCCCAGGCUGGAGUACAGUGGUAUGAUCUUGGCUCACUGCAACCUCUGCCUCCCAGGUUCAAAAAAAUCCUCCCACCUCAGCCUCCUGAGUAGCUGGGAUUACAGGUGUGUGCCACCCCACCCAGCUAAUUUUUAUAUGUUCAGUAGAGAUGAGAUUUCACCACGUUGGCCAGGCUGGUCUUGAACUCCUAACCUCAGGUGAUCCAUCCACCUCGACCUCCCAAAGUGCUGGGAUUACAGGCGUGAGCCACUGCACCUGGCCUUAAUAAUUCUGUUUAUAUAUCUGCUUCUUUACUCCCUAUUUACUGUACAUUCCCUAUGGCCCACUUUUUUUUCUCUCCUUUGUUCAAUUCAUUGUCCUUGUCCUUUUCUUUGUGAAAUGUUAACAGCAGUUAACAAGGGAUGAAUAGGAGGCAUUUAUUUUAUGUUUUCUUAUUAUAUUCUUCACUAAAUGUGUGAUGAACAAAAGUUAUUUAAAAUAAAACAAACUGCUGU
RNAcentral lists this long non-coding RNA (1725 nucleotides) under Homo sapiens (human). RNAcentral describes it as "HSALNT0377991". The record is from RNAcentral. Lineage: Eukaryota; Metazoa; Chordata; Mammalia; Primates; Hominidae.